RNAcentral lists this ribosomal RNA (395 nucleotides) under uncultured bacterium. RNAcentral's name for it is "bacterial SSU rRNA". It matches the Rfam family "Bacterial small subunit ribosomal RNA", at positions 29 to 429 of the family's 1533-position model. The record is from RNAcentral.
AUUGAAUGCUGGCGGAAUGCUUUACACAUGCAAGUCGAGCGGCAGCGCGGGGCAACCUGGCGGCGAGCGGCGAACGGGUGAGUAAUGCAUCGGAACGUACCCAGUCGUGGGGGAUAACUGUCCGAAAGGACAGCUAAUACCGCAUACGUCCUGAGGGAGAAAGCGGGGGAUCGCAAGACCUCGCGCGAUUGGAGCGGCCGAUGCCGGAUUAGCUAGUUGGUAGGGUAAAGGCCUACCAAGGCGACGAUCCGUAGCUGGUCUGAGAGGACGACCAGCCACACUGGAACUGAGACACGGUCCAGACUCCUACGGGAGGCAGCAGUGGGGAGUUUUGGACAAUGGGGGCAACCCUGAUCCAGCCAUUCCGCGUGAGUGAAGAAGGCCUCGGUUGUAAG